This 7656-nucleotide unclassified non-coding RNA is filed under the name Leishmania donovani. RNAcentral describes it as "gene:LdHU3.25.1620(CDS-product:hypothetical_prote in_conserved)". The record is from RNAcentral. Lineage: Eukaryota; Euglenozoa; Kinetoplastea; Trypanosomatida; Trypanosomatidae.
CCACACGCACACAGAUAGGGGCAUACCAUACAUCUUGAACAACGCAAGCGCCGAGAUAACCCACGCACGCACACGUUUUUCCUUUUGAACGGGCUUGCGCGCGUGUGUGGCACCUCCCCCUCUCCGUCAUCCUGCUCUCUUUGUCAUUAUGCUGUUCUGUGGCUUCCUCCAACGAUUACCGCCUGGCUCUUUACCCCCCUGUUCUCUCUCUCGGUGCUUGCGAGUGCGUGUGCGUGCGCCUCUUGCCCCCCCCUCACUUCGCACGCACACCCCCUCUCUCCCGCACCUCUCCUGCUCGCUGCAUUACCUUGCCUGUGCAGUCGGCUGCCCGUUUGCAACCGCUUCUCGAGCGCGGUGGCCGACUACGGUGUGCUUGCCUCGCUCCUCCCUCUCGUUUUCUCUCUCGCUCAUCCAUCCACUCGCUUCGCCAAGCGACAUGCUGCUGAGCAAGCAGCCCGGUGACACCGGCAUCUACGCCACCGCCACGUCGAGCCAGGUGCGGCUCUACUAUGUUCUCGACCGUGUCUUCCCGCUCACCUCUAGCGGCGCGGUGGCAGCGGAAGGGUCUGGUGUGCUGGGCAACGCCGUAUAUGACGGUUUCGAUGGCAUCGGCGCCUCCGCAACUACCCGGUCUCUCAAGCCCGUACCGCCAGAUUUAAUGCCGUACUUUGCUGGUGCACCGGCAUGCGUGCCUCGCGAAUACCUGCGCAUGCUGUGCCGCCUCUCCGCUGUUAGCAGAGGCACCGGUUCUGUGGCAGCUGCGACGACUAGCGGCAUAGAUGUGCGGGCGGGAGGGUAUGACGCUUAUGGGCUGCCCGCUCCGCUCGCGACGUCAGCAGCACGCGUGCGCUUUCCACCACCCCCUCGCACCGGCGUGGGGUACGCGUCGGCGACUUGUGCGGCCUCUGACGACUGGCUGCAAAAAGAGCAACAGAGGCAGGACGUCAGCUUCGCGUACCACUGGGGCGCCCCGCUUGUCCCUUUUCAUGCAGUCCCCUGUGGCGGCGGUGUCGGCGCUGGAGAGGGGCGACUCUUGAGCUCACAUGGUGGAGCGAACGCGUCGCCGCAGGAGUGGGCGACGCCAACGCUAGCCGCCGCCGGGGCCACCUCGACCUUUGCAGAGGAGUACGGCCCGGGGCAGUCGUCAAGUCGCGUGAGCGGGAACAGCGCGGCGGGGUAUAGUGGAUACUACACCGGCAGCCCGCAAACACUGGCCGGGCGCGCUGGUGGCGGCGGCGGCGGUGGUGGUGCUCGCCCCAGCAGUACCGCCUCGGCCGCUGCCGUGUCCACUGCACCCACUGCCCUCUCUCUCAGCUGCGCCACAGAUUGCGUGCUGUUCUUUGUGGCGAAUGCAGAGGGUCUCAGCUGGAUUGGCCGCAGCGAUGCCACGACACUGUCCCCUCUGCGGGUGUCCACGUCGCUGCCGAUGCGACGGCGCGGCACCGGCGGAUACGGCGGGCCAUCCGGUGGUGGUGGCGGUGCCACGGUAGUGUCAUCGGCGCCACACCCACCGCGGCCGUUUUCCGAAGCCUUUGGCGCACCGGUGAACACUACCUUCCCUGCGAACAGCUUUGCCAGUAGUGAGCAGACCGCCACACCACCGAACAUGGCAGGGGACCUCUCACUCCAGAACGCCCCGCUAAUCGUGUCAGAUGAGGACGGAGGCGAAGGCGGCGAUGAAGAUAGAGCAGGCGAGGCGGUGGCUGCUGGCACCGGAGGCGGUGGUGUGGCAGACAGCCGCCGCCGCCCUAGCUUAGCAGGCGCUGCCAGUCCAUUCUUCACCGACGGACUUGACGUGUACGGAGGGGUGGUGCCGACGACUAUGGUGGGGCUCCCGAUGCGUAGAGCAGUAUCUCGUCAGGACCGCGUUGUCACCGCGUCCGGAUGGGAUCCGCGCAACUCGGCCAUACUCGCCCUGGGCCGGCAGAGCGGCGCGGUGCAGCUGCUGGAUGUCGAGUACGUGGUGGGCUCGGUGGAGGGCAGGUGCUGCAGUUCCACUACCACGACCCGUAGCACGAGUAACGACGACACCAACGAGCUGUUUUUUGUGCCCCCAGUGGGCGGCGUCGCUGCAGGGGCCAGCGCGCUCGGCGGCAGCAGUGUCGGUGGGACUCGUCUGGUGCCAUACGCGGGCGCAGACCACCUCAGCUACAGUGUGGUUCAGCAAAAGCAAAUGCUGGGCCCCGUGACGGCGCUGGAUUGGAUGCCACAGUCCCACCUGACUGUUGUGGCCGCGCGGCGUCUCGAUGGGCUCGGCUUCUACGCGGAGCUGCUCGAUCUGCGCGCCUCUCACGACGGCGUCACGUACCUCGGCGCGCCGCCCGAGGUGUUCGGCGUCCCUGUCUGCGCGCGCACUACAGACAACGCUGCCCCAUGUGUCCUUUGCAGUGCCGAGCAGGUGGCGUGCCACCCUUCGCAGCGGUACGUCGCCACGGUGGGUGCGUCGCAAAUGCGGGACAUUGUGCAGCUCUGGGAUGUGCGCAUGGCGACGCGGCCGGUUUCGUGUCAGGUGUACACACGCGCGGGAUAUACUUCCCUGUGCUGGAGUGCGGCAGAGGCGGGGGUGGUGCUUGGCACGACGCGCGACGGCGGUCUGCGCGCGCAUGCCUUCAAGGAGCUUGCACCAUCGCGCGCUGCUCCAGGCGGCCCUGUCGUCGUGACGUCGCACCACUACGGCAGCGCAGCUAAUCCUCACCUGAGCCCGAGCGGCUUUGGCUCCGGUGGUGCCGGGGGGGGCUUCGGGACAGGCCGCAGUCGCCGACGUCGCGCCCCAAGCGGAGGCCUCCCGCACCAUCGCUCGCCGAGCGGCGGAGAACUGGAUGCGGAUGGUUGGGGCGUGAGUACCAGCAACCCUGUGAACAGUGGCUGCAGUGGGACGGAGGCCGAGGCCGAGGAGGACUUCACGGACGGUUCCUGUAGCAUUCGCUCCGGCUUCUCCGGCGACGGCACCGGCACAGCCGUGCCCUCCAUCACUGACGGAAGCAACGCUUUGGUGCACGUCAGCGUGAAGGCGCAGUCCGCGCUUAAGUGCCGGCUGCCGUCUCGCGUGCCCGCCGCUGCGGUGGGGUGGGUGUGCCACCCGCUCUCGGAGCCGAUGAAGACGAUCACCGCCGGCAGCAUCCCGGGCCUCCCGUCGGUGCACCGCCGCACCAGCAGCGGAAUGUCCGCUGACGGACCUCACCACUCUGAGCGCUUGCACACCUCUCACGGUGCCACUAGCGGCCUUCGUCCCAAAGACGACUGUGAUGGCGAAGUGGACGACAACGCGGUGGCGCGUGGCUGCCGAACAGACUUGCCACAGCUGCUGCUGCUCAAUGCCAAGAAUGGGGAGCUAUAUACGCAGGUGUACAACCCAGGUGGCAGCACAGUCACCAGCCUCAACAGCAGCACGGCUCUGGUCGGCGCCGGCCCCAACGCUUUCCUCACACACGCCUCCACGGCGUACAAUACAGCGAGUUAUGUUUAUGAGGAGGCUGUGCUUGAACGGCUGGAGUGUCAAGCCGCCGCCGCCGCUGCUGCUGCUGCCGCCACCGCCGCUCCCAGCGCAGCUCCUGGUAUGGUGGUGCCCUCUUGCCCCACCCCCAUCUCCUCCGGACCCGCAUCCAAAGCAGUAAUGGGUUUGCUAUACGGGCGCGCAGGUGUCGCCGGCGCGGCAACCGUUACCUCUACAAACAAGCCGCACGUAUCAGGCGACAGCACCGUUGAUGGAGCUCAGCUGUCAAGUACUGGCAGCUCUGCCAGUGGCGGCGGCAGGGCUUGUGCUGUUGCUGCUGCUGCUGCUGCUGCUGCUGCAACCCGUGGUGGUGGCGGCGCUGCGACGGCGGCGUCCAGACUAAAAGGCCGACCUGUCGAUUUGAUCGGUCUGGGCCUCUUGGACGAGGUGGAAGAUGAGGACGACGAUGAAGAGGGUGAACGGGACACGCUGCGGGCCAGCGCUGCCGCUGCCGCCACCGGUGACUACGAGCACUGCGCUCUCGCCGGCGCCAACACGAACGGGCAGCAGUCCGAUUUCGGCGCUGCUUCCUCUACAGCUCAUGGCCUGCCGAGCAUGAGGGCUGCGGGGACGGCCGGAGUGGGUGGCAACGAUGACUCGGCAAGCGCAGGCAGCCCGCGCGCCGGACUUACGAGGGAAGCUGCGUCUUCUUUGGUGGGCACUGGCGGUGCAGCUGUUCCUAAAGCUCCUAAAGGUGUGCAUCGCAGCGGCAUCAGCAGCGCUCUCCAACAGGAGGAGGGGCUACUUGGCCGUCGAACUUCCUUGCGCGAACCUGUCGCUGCGUCGCCGCACAGCCGGCCCACCUCUGCAGAACCGAUGCAGCAGCCAUACACAGUCACCACAUCCGCAGGUGGCCGAGGUGCCUCUCAGUCCGCAACAGCAGCGGCAGCAAUGUCCAUUCCACAGGAAAUGAGCUUCUGCGAGUUCCACCGCCUCGAUCGUACGCGGCAUCUGUGGAGACGGCUGCGCAGCGGCUUCUCAUAUGACCCGGUGCGCAACUUGACCGUGCUCCUGCGCGAAGGCCUGGAUCGGGAGGGGUACGCCACCUUCCUCUACGGCUGCUGUGCUGCACAGCUGCUAUUCCCCACUGCUGUGAUGGUGGCGCCAAAGUCGCGCAGCACCGAACCGGGGACGGGACCGGCAGCGUCGGCCCCCUCUCUAGCUGUGGGCCUGAAGCGAGCCGUGCCAGGGCUGCUGGAGCUGCUGGUGUCGGAGCGUGAGUUGCGGCAGCAACUGGGGCUGAACGACACCCGGCUCUCCUCGCAGUUUCCUCUCAGUCAACACCACCACCUGCUCGCUUCGGCCAACGCAACCGCAUCUGUCGCAGCCGCCAUGACGGCGGGUUUUGCGCCUCCGGGCGGCUACGCCAUCGUCGGCCCCAUAGGGGCACUCGGCCUGCAGGCCCCUCUGCUGGCGGGCUUGCCGAGCGCCAUGGAGCGGCACAAGGGGCCGCCGGGGUUUUCACUGCACCCGUUCAGCGCCGCCGCGGCAGGCAUUCGUGCGGGUCGCCUGACACCGCCAGCGCACCUUACCGGGCCCGCGAUCAACGCUGGCGCGAGCCGCACAGCUUCAUCAGUUCUCCGGGGUGGCGCAGGCUCCUCUGGGGCGGCCGGUGAUGCUGCAAGGGACAGCGCGGCAUACCUUCCGACGUACCCCGUGGCGAUUGGGAUGUUGCGGCAGCUCGUGCUGCAGUCCAUGGGCUGGACGAUGCCACCUGCCGUGUGCCUCGUUGACUCACCAGCUGAGCACACCACCGAGCGCGAGGGGACGAGUGCCAGCGCUGCCGCAGAGAGAGCCGGUGGAGUGCAGGCGACUCGGUCGCCUCCUCCAGGCGGCGACCACCGCCCCCAGCACCCGGCGGAGAGAUUUUUCGUGCAGGGAGACGGCAUAGGCCAACGCAGCCUGCAGGAAGCGCUGGAGCGGCGCGUAGCCGUGCUCGUGUUGCUGGAUCGUCUCGAGGAAGCUGCUGAGUUGCUGGCGCUGUACGGCACUCACAAUGUGCAGUACCCCAGUAUCGCCUUGACCCUGUCUGCAGCGCGCGGCCGGCAGACGACUGUGAUGAGCUUGGCAGCAGACGACUGUCCUGGGGUGACCUUCUGGAUUCAUUUGAUGCUCGCAUACAUGGAGCUUGUGAUGCAUCAGCAGUCGUGCGGAGCGGCGGCAGCAGGGGAUAGGACGCUGCAGGCGGAUGCUGGGAGCUCGAGAAGCGGCAGCGACGACGCCACAUCGAGCACGACCAAAAGCGUCGCUGCGACGACGGAGCCGGUCAGCCGCUUCGAUGACCUCUUUACGUUACCGCAUCAGAAGGCGGUGGUGCUGCACCUGCUGGAGAGGUAUCCGCGCCUGAGCCUCUCUGACAAAGUGGCCCUUGCCACGGCGCUGCUCUUGCCCUCGCGGUACCACAGCGGCCAUGUCGCCAACUUGAUUGAGGUGUUGCAGACUUUGGUGCAGCAGCAGUACCGUGAUUACUCUAGCACCGCUACCGCCAGCACAGCAGCUGAACAGGCGGUCGCCGACAGCACGUGCGGGUCGCCGUCCUCAACGUCGUCGCCACUCGGGAUCCGCGCGCGGCAGCAGCGACGCGUGGAUUCGAAGCGUGCAUCGUUGUCCGGUCUACCUCGAUCGCCCGCUCAGAGUUCUUCCGUAGACGCUGCUGUGUCGCCGGCGGCUCUCGGCAGCCGCUUCCCAAGCCCGCCUGGCGCCCCUCUCGCGCACGGCAGCGUCAAUUCCCACUACAGCGAUCCUAGUGACACCUUCGUGCUGGCUGCCGCCGCAUCUGCCGCCUCUGCGGAUCGCUUCGCCCCCAUCUACCGGUGCUCGCUGCUGCUCGUGACAGUCGUGGAAGGCGUUAGCACCGACUGCGGCGCACUUCAGCGCUACGUGGACGAGAGCGGCGACGUGCAAACGGCCUUGAGCUACGCAGCGGCGUUCAGCAAUGUGCUCUCGCCCACGGUCCGCACGUGGCGUGACGCGUACCGGCGUUUGCUUAACGACCAGGGGCUCGCCAUGUGGCGUAGUCUUCACGAUCUGCAUCUCGUGAAACUUCUCAAAGCACGUGAAGAGGCGGACAAGCACGUGGGCGGCAGCGCCAUCUCCGGCAGCAGCAACUCGCGUAGCGCCGGCGCCGUUGGCGGUGUGGCGGGCAUCCCAGGAGGCUCCGUCAUUGGCGGAGGCGGGGGCUCUUCCCCGGGCAUGGUGGGCGCAGGCACCACACGCGGCGGCGGUGUUGUUGAAGCCACCAUCGGCGCCCCGCCGGGGAGCCCCGCGGGGACUCUCUCGGGUGCUGGCGUGCCUCGACCAAAUGGCUUCCCUGGCGCGCUGGGGGCACUUGGGAGUGACCUCGGUGCAGGGCCUGGUGCCGCCUCCGCUGCGGCGAUGAUGUCGACCCAAACAGCCAUGAUGAUGGAGCGCACGCUGAACCGAUUUGCGCAGACCACCGCAACCGCGACAACCGACUGCGACCGCUCGUUGCGCGAGGCAGCCGCGACUGCUGGUGGGGCCAGUCCAGGAGCUAACGAAGCGCUCCACCGAGCGGUGGAGCUGCGGUGCAACUGCGGUCAGGCGAUGCACGCGACGGCGCCGAGCAAGAGCUCCAUCUCGUCCAUGACCUCGACGAACAUGACCCGCAAACAGCUCAUUCCGUGCGGCAACCCAGAGUGCCGACAAUGGCAGUCGCCGAUGUGCACCGUGUGCGGUGAGCGUAUGGAGCACCGCGCGACGGAGCUGCCGCCGGAGCGCUUCUUCGCAUGGUGCAGCGUGUGUCUGCACGGGGGCCACUGGUGCCACCUGCGGGAGUGGUUCAGCAAGCACACUAAAUGCCCCGUCGAGAACUGCCCCUGCCACUGCUGCGAUAACGUCCAUCUCUCGUAGCACAGGCGGCCGCUGAUCGUCUUGCCUCUCUCUCGCUGCUCUCGUCCUGUUGACGUCCCCUUCCGUCUAAAAGCCCCCCUCUCCCCCUGUGUGUAAGAGCGCGUGUGCGCAUGCGUGCUUGUGCUUCGAACCGUCUCCGACCGCCCCUCCGCCUCACUACCCCAUCCCCCUUCAUCAUCACGGCGACUUUCCGUACAAUUAUCGACGUCAAGAACGAAAAUGGUAGCCGAUGAAAGCGGUGAGAGGCAGUCAACGCGCUGUGGCUGCAGGUGCUCUGGUAGUGUGCAACACAG